RNAcentral lists this ribosomal RNA (379 nucleotides) under Natrinema salaciae. Its description in RNAcentral is "bacterial SSU rRNA". It matches the Rfam family "Archaeal small subunit ribosomal RNA", at positions 458 to 837 of the family's 1478-position model. Lineage: Archaea; Methanobacteriati; Methanobacteriota; Halobacteria; Halobacteriales; Natrialbaceae. The record is from RNAcentral.
UCAGCCGCCGCGGUAAUACCGGCAGCACGAGUGAUGACCGCUAUUAUUGGGCCUAAAGCGUCCGUAGCUGGCCACGCAAGUCCGUCGGGAAAUCCGCGCGCUUAACGCGCGGGCGUCCGGUGGAAACUGUGUGGCUUGGGACCGGAAGAUCCAGAGGGUACGUCCGGGGUAGGAGUGAAAUCCCGUAAUCCUGGACGGACCACCGGUGGCGAAAGCGCUCUGGAAAGACGGAUCCGACGGUGAGGGACGAAAGCUCGGGUCACGAACCGGAUUAGAUACCCGGGUAGUCCGAGCUGUAAACGAUGUCUGCUAGGUGUGACACAGGCUACGAGCCUGUGCUGUGCCGUAGGGAAGCCGUGAAGCAGACCGCCUGGAAGUA